RNAcentral lists this unclassified non-coding RNA (798 nucleotides) under Drosophila ananassae. Its description in RNAcentral is "GF15631". The record is from RNAcentral. Lineage: Eukaryota; Metazoa; Arthropoda; Insecta; Diptera; Drosophilidae.
GAAAAGUUUAUGUUUUUAUUUAUUGAUCUCUAGUCAUGAAGGCGGGUAUUAGGCGAACCUCGGCCAGCGUAAUUCUUGUGGCCCCAAAUGAAGGAACAAGCAAAGACUAUAAAUUGCUGAUGCUGAAACGCAGUGACACCACGGCAGUAGUGCUCAAUCAAACCGUAUUCCCCGGUGGCCUCUUGGAUGAGGCCGAUGAGAGCGUGGCCUGGCUGCAGUACUUUGAGGAGUUCGGUGUCCCCCAAAAGGAACUGCGUCGACUGGUACUCAUUAGCAAUGAUCGACCUGCUAUUCUGGCUCCACAGGGCACCGGUUGUUACGAUCGUUUCUUUAAAAACACAAUAAUUUGGUCGAGAGAGAUUACGUUGCGCCUGAAUGCUAUACGGGAAUGCUUUGAAGAGGUGGGUGUCUUGCUGUGCCGAAGUCAUGAGGAUCUUAAGGACUUUGGUCCGGUGGCCUCCCUUCAGAAUGUGCCCAAUCUAAAAAGCUGGCAACAACGAGUGCACAACAAACCCAGUGAGUUUCUGACCCUGUGUCGGGAGCUAAAGGUUGUGCCCGAUCUGUGGGGUCUGCAUGAGUGGUCUGCUUGGACCAGUCCUGGAUUUAUGCGAAAAGGUCCCAUAGCUAUGAAACCGUCUUCUUCAUGGCUUUUGUGAAUUCGCAACCUAACUUACUGGCGGAGCCCUCUGAAGUUAAAGAGACACUGUGGUCAACCCCGAUUGAGUUUCUACGAAUGACUAAACUUGGAGAAAUUUGGCUUCUUCCUCCUCAAAUUUAUGAGUUAUCCCGACUAAUGGG